RNAcentral lists this transfer RNA (58 nucleotides) under Orthione mesoamericana. RNAcentral describes it as "tRNA-Asp". The record is from RNAcentral. Lineage: Eukaryota; Metazoa; Arthropoda; Malacostraca; Isopoda; Bopyridae.
AAAAGCUUAGUUAAAUAAUAAUAUAAGUUUGUCAGGCUUAAGUUGUCUUCAGCUUUUA